This 194-nucleotide ribosomal RNA is filed under the name uncultured Sclerocystis. RNAcentral's name for it is "partial 18S ribosomal RNA". It matches the Rfam family "Eukaryotic small subunit ribosomal RNA", at positions 569 to 766 of the family's 1831-position model. Lineage: Eukaryota; Fungi; Glomeromycota; Glomeromycetes; Glomerales; Glomeraceae. The record is from RNAcentral.
AGCAGCCGCGGUAAUUCCAGCUCCAAUAGCGUAUAUUAAAGUUGUUGCAGUUAAAAAGCUCGUAGUUGAAUUUCGGAAUAAGCAGGUCGGUCGUGCCACAGGUAUGUACUGGUCUUGCUGAUUCCUCCCUCUGACGAAUCAUAAUGCCAUUAAUUUGGUGUUUUGGGGAAUCAGGACUGUUACUUUGAAAAAAU